Molecule: long non-coding RNA, 2215 nt
Filed under: Equus asinus (donkey)
Lineage: Eukaryota; Metazoa; Chordata; Mammalia; Perissodactyla; Equidae
Description: lncRNA (ENSEASG00005031472.1)
Source: RNAcentral
CGGGAGAGAGGAUUAUUCCUAUUCCCGCUUUACAGACAGGAAAACCGAGGUCCAGGGAGGCAAGUGACUGGCUGAGGCUCCCACCGCCAGGCAGGACGUGGAAGACGCAGGAUUUGAACCCUGAUCUUCCCCUCUGCCGCGUGCCUGGCUCAGCAGUGUCACGGGCCUUGUUCCUGACCACAGGCUGGACAGGGUUGUGGACAUGUGGGUCCCACCUCGUCCUUACAACUGCCUCUUGACAUUGGUGUUUGUCCCAUUUCACAGCUGAGAAAAUUGAGGCUAAAAAAUGCGAAUGAUUUGCCAAGUUCAGGUGGCUGGGCAGCGCCGGGGCCAGGAUUCAGUCCUUGUCCACCUCCAGGGAGUUCUGCGACCUGCCCGGGGCCACACGGCUAACUUCAGUCCCUUCCAGGCAGCCGUCUACUCAGUGCCAGUCUUCCCCGCACAGGAGAUCACGUCGUCCCCACCUCCCCCACACAGGCUUUUCCUGGACACGGGAAUCGAGUCCGAGUUCCCUCUAGACCUGGGCCAGACAUGUUGGCCAUCCAAGAAGGACAGAUGUUUGCCCGAGGGCCCUGAAGAGGACAGGGGAGUCGAGUCCGAGCUCAGAGGAUCUUCCCAGAGACUUCAAGAAGCCAAGGGACUCUCCUCCUGUAACUGCAGACUGAAGACUCUGCUUACCGCGUGGGCCCCGUGUCCACAAAGGCCGCCCGCCCGGGAGCCGGGGUUUCCAGCUGCCUUGGAGAGAGAACCACCUGAAGGGGCCAGGUGCUGGCACAAGGGGACAUUUCCGUCGCCGUCCCCAGGUCGGGAGCGUGCAUGAGGGGCACAGGGUAUGUGCAUGUUCCUUCUAGUGUGGCUGGGUCUUGAGGGGGAGAGAACCCAGUAGGGGCCCCCUGCCCAGCAUUCCUCUGACAUGCAUUUGUUGAGUGUAUACGGGCCCCGGGAUACCAGGGGCUCUGGACACACCUCUGCCCACAAGAGUUUGGAGGUCUGCUGGGGAGACAGGCACAUGAGCACCUGAUGAUGGAACGCGGGUCCAGAGCGGGCGCGGGCACUGGAGCCCUGGAACCCGGGUGGUCGGAGCCUCAGUCCCCAGGGUGAGGACGUGAAAACUUUCCAGAGGAGACGGUUUCUGACUGGGUCUCGGAAUACGGUUCUGAUGGAUCCCAAGGAAAAGCAGGGGGCAGUGAGGGAGCCGAGCUGGAGAGAGAAGGCGGCCUGCCCCACAGUUUAGUGAGAGCCCGUCCUGCCUGGACCGGAAGGAGCCGUGGGAGGAAGCGGAAGGAACAUGCAUGCCCCAUGCGGAGGCUCCUCAUGCUGGGGGCUGGAUGUGGUGGUGACGGACAGAGGGGAAUGAGGAUGGCGUCUGGUCUCUGGCCUGUGUGUCUGGAAGGAUGGAGAAGCCCCCCCAUCGGGAGCCCGCAAGGGAGAAGGUGAUCAAUCACAGAAGUUGAUUCUAGAGUCUGGAGUGGUGUCCGUCACAGCCAACCAUUCAACUAACUCCCUCGGGGAGAGCUGUCCCCCUGCAGGGUUGGUGGCAGUGGAUGCCGUGGAAGGGGAUGCGUCUGGAGAGAACACCGCUCGCCCCUUUGCCCUGAUUGCUGGCACCUGCCUGUCUGCAGGAGACCCGUCCCAGAUCACCUUUCAGGCAUCAAUUUGUCUUCCCUGCUUUCUGCAUCCUUGACAACCAUGGACUAAGCACACAUGACAGGAGCCCGUCCCCCUGCGAGGGGACGGCUGGAGCCUGGGGGCCACAGCAGGAGCCCACUUGCUGCAGUGACCUGGACCUCAACCUAGGGUCCAUCGGAGUCCCCUGAGGACCUUAAGAGAAAGACGCCCCGCCCCCUCCCAGAGAUGGGAUUCAGCUAGCCUGGGAGGGCGCGGGCGCCGCUCAUCCUCCGUGAACGGAGAAAACCUCGGCUCCGAGGGAAAGACCACAGCUUUAGAGUCAGACCUGGAAUCCCAGCUCUUCCUCGUCUGAACGGUGUGACUUAGAUGAAUUACCCACACUCUCUGGGAGCCGGCUUCUGUUUCUGGAGGAAUGUUCAUGGUCAGUUCACCUCAGGUAACCCGCAUAACGCGGGGCGCCUGGAGCGGGAGCCGGCCUUUGGUGCCUGGCACCCGCCACACCUCCCAGCACCCCGAGAGCUUGGGUCUCCUCCUAACCCAGCCGUGCAGCUGAGUCCCCCAGCUCAGCAACCCGAGGAAAAUACGC